This 442-nucleotide ribosomal RNA is filed under the name uncultured Eubacteriales bacterium. Its description in RNAcentral is "bacterial SSU rRNA". It matches the Rfam family "Bacterial small subunit ribosomal RNA", at positions 336 to 795 of the family's 1533-position model. Lineage: Bacteria; Bacillati; Bacillota; Clostridia; Eubacteriales. The record is from RNAcentral.
UUCCUACGGGAGGCAGCAGUGGGGAAUAUUGGGCAAUGGGCGAAAGCCUGACCCAGCAACGCCGCGUGAAGGAAGAAGGUUUUCGGAUCGUAAACUUCUAUCCUAGGUGAAGAUAAUGACGGUAGCCUAGAAGGAAGCCCCGGCUAACUACGUGCCAGCAGCCGCGGUAAUACGUAGGGGGCAAGCGUUGUCCGGAAUGAUUGGGCGUAAAGGGCGCGUAGGCGGCCGCGUAAGUCCGACGUGAAAUUCCUGCUUUUAAGGUAGGAAUUGCGUUGGAAACUGCGUGGCUUGAGUGCAGGAGAGGUAAGUGGAAUUCCCGGUGUAGCGGUGAAAUGCGUAGAGAUCGGGAGGAACACCAGUGGCGAAGGCGACUUACUGGACUGUAACUGACGCUGAGGCGCGAAAGUGUGGGGAGCAAACAGGAUUAGAUACCCCAGUAGUC